This 490-nucleotide ribosomal RNA is filed under the name uncultured bacterium. RNAcentral's name for it is "partial 16S ribosomal RNA". It matches the Rfam family "Bacterial small subunit ribosomal RNA", at positions 30 to 507 of the family's 1533-position model. The record is from RNAcentral.
AUUGAACGCUGGCGGCAGGCCUAACACAUGCAAGUCGAACGGUAACAGGAAGAAGCUUGCUUCUUUGCUGACGAGUGGCGGACGGGUGAGUAAUGUCUGGGAAACUGCCUGAUGGAGGGGGAUAACUACUGGAAACGGUAGCUAAUACCGCAUAACGUCGCAAGACCAAAGAGGGGGACCUUCGGGCCUCUUGCCAUCGGAUGUGCCCAGAUGGGAUUAGCUAGUAGGUGGGGUAACGGCUCACCUAGGCGACGAUCCCUAGCUGGUCUGAGAGGAUGACCAGCCACACUGGAACUGAGACACGGUCCAGACUCCUACAGGAGGCAGCAGUGGGGAAUAUUACACAAUGGGCGCAAGCCUGAUGCAGCCAUGCCGCGUGUAUGAAGAAGGCCUUCGGGUUGUAAAGUACUUUCAGCGGGGAGGAAGGGAGUAAAGUUAAUACCUUUGCUCAUUGACGUUACCCGCAGAAGAAGCACCGGCUAACUCCGUG